RNAcentral lists this long non-coding RNA (224 nucleotides) under Toxoplasma gondii VEG. Lineage: Eukaryota; Apicomplexa; Conoidasida; Eucoccidiorida; Sarcocystidae. The record is from RNAcentral.
CUUCUUUUCUCGUUUCGAUUUCUCCCUUCUCUCCUCUUUCCCCUCCCCUUUCCUCUCCCCUUUCCUCUCCUUCCUGACUUUCACUCUUCCCUCCGUUGUUUCUCCCUUUCGUGGUGUCGCGUUGUUUUGCGUUCUCGGUGUAUCCCUCAGUCAACCGCGAUCGCUGAGAGUCGAGAUCGCAAGUCUCGAACAUGCCGUUUCUCCCUCUUGCGGCUUCGUUUCUU